GACUCUCAGAAAUGGAUAUCUCGGCUCUUGCAUCGAUGAAGAACGUAGCGAAAUGCAAUACUUGGUGUGAAUUGCAAAAUCCCGUGAACUAUGGAGUUUUUGAACGCAAGUUGCGCCUGUCGCCACCCGCCGAAACGGACCUUGGCAUUC
This 150-nucleotide ribosomal RNA is filed under the name Cajanus cajan (pigeon pea). RNAcentral's name for it is "5.8S ribosomal RNA". It matches the Rfam family "5.8S ribosomal RNA". Rfam says of the family: 5.8S ribosomal RNA (5.8S rRNA) is a component of the large subunit of the eukaryotic ribosome. It is transcribed by RNA polymerase I as part of the 45S precursor that also contains 18S and 28S rRNA. The record is from Rfam by way of RNAcentral. Lineage: Eukaryota; Viridiplantae; Streptophyta; Magnoliopsida; Fabales; Fabaceae.